AUUGAACGCUGGCGGCAGGCCUAACACAUGCAAGUCGAGCGGAGCGGCGGACGGGUGAGUAAUGCCUAUGAAUCUGCCUGGUAGUGGGGGAUAACGUCCGGAAACGGGCGCUAAUACCGCAUACUAUCAGAUGAGCCUAGGCCGGAUUAGCUAGUUGGUUGGGUAAAGACAUACCAAGGCGUCGAUCCGUAACUGGUGUGAGAGGAUGAUCAGUCACGCUGGAAAUGAGACACGGUCCAGACUCCUACGGGAGGCAGCAGUGGGGAAUAUGGGAAAAUGGGCGAAAGCCUGAGGCAGCCAUGCCGCGUGUGGGAAGAAGGUCUUCGGAUGGUAAAGCACUUUAAGUUGGGAGGCGUUACCAACAGAAUAAGCACCGGCUAACUUCGUGCCAGCAGCCGCGGUAAUUC
RNAcentral lists this ribosomal RNA (407 nucleotides) under uncultured bacterium. RNAcentral's name for it is "partial 16S ribosomal RNA". It matches the Rfam family "Bacterial small subunit ribosomal RNA", at positions 30 to 526 of the family's 1533-position model. The record is from RNAcentral.